AUUUUGGAGAGUUUGAUCCUGGCUCAGAGUGAACGCUGGCGGCGUGGAUUAGGCAUGCAAGUCGAGCGAUUCUUGUUGCCCCGCCUUCCAAGGAUUUCGGUCUGAGGAGGGCGGGGUGACGCGAAUAGCGGCAAACGGGUGAGUAACACGUGAGAAACUUUCCCUAAAGUCGAACACAGCUCCGUGAAAACGGGGGUAAUAUUCGAUGUGGUAUUUUGACCGCAUGGUCGGAAUAUUAAAGGCGGGGACCUUUCGGGGCCUGCCGCUUUAGGAUAGUCUCGCGGCCUAUCAGCUAGUUGGUAGGGUAACGGCCUACCAAGGCGUAUGACGGGUAGCUGGUCUGAGAGGAUGGUCAGUCACACUGGGACUGAGACACUGCCCAGACUCCUACGGGAGGCUGCAGUCGAGAAUCUUUAGCAAUGGACGAAAGUCUGACUACGCGACGCCGCGUGCAGGAUGAAGGGUUUCGGCUCGUAAACUGCUUUUGUUAGGAAAGAACAAGCGUGGGCUAAUAACCCGCGCUUUGACGGUACCUAACGAAUAAGCCACGGCCAAUUCCGUGCCAGCAGCCGCGGUAAUACGGGAGUGGCAAGCGUUACUCGGAAUUAUUGGGUGUAAAGGGUAAGUAGGCGGUUUAUUAAGUGAGGGGUGAAAUCUUCCGACUCAAUCGGAAAAUUGCCUUUCAAACUGAUAGACUUGAGGUUGGGAGGGGGAAACGGAAUUAGCAGUGUAAGGGUGAAAUCUGUAGAUAUUGCUAAGAACACCAGCGGCGAAGGCGGUUUCCUGGUCCAAACCUGACGCUCAAUUACGAAAGCUAGGGGAGCAAACAGAAUUAGAUACUCUGGUAGUCCUAGCUGUAAACGAUGAGCACUAGGUAUCGGUCCUUCGGGGUCGGUGCCACAGCUAACGCAUUAAGUGCUCCACCUGGGGACUACGGCCGCAAGG
Omnitrophica WOR_2 bacterium is the source of this 945-nucleotide non-coding RNA. The record is from Rfam. NCBI's taxonomy places the organism in Bacteria, Pseudomonadati, Candidatus Omnitrophota.